ACUGGCAGGCGCCUCUGACUGGAGCAAGGGCUAGAUCAAUUGAGGAAGGAGACAAGGCCAGUCUGUGACUACGACUAGAGACAGAGGCCAAACAGCAUCUGUGACAUAGACAGGGCCAGGGAGUCUGGGAUUGAAGACGGUGGGGAAAGACAGAAUGAUCGUCUUCAUGUAGAAAAGUCACAGCUGGUAUGAUUGUAAGUGGGCUACCGGACUGAUUGUCAGCCAGAAAAGAGGUAACCUUACCAUUCUUGGUCUCUCUCUCGAGGCCAAAAAAAAUUACAUAUUCUAAUAAAGUUAAUAUAUAACCUAAGUUUACCUUUAAAGUUUUUAUUUCUGCAGAAAGAGCCUCAAUCUUUUCCGUGUCUCCAAGGGGACUAGAGAAAUCUCUAAUAUUUUCAUUGCUUUCAGUGUCUCUGUGGGGACUAGAGCAAUCCCUAAUAGCUUCAUUUCUUUCAGCAUCUAUGAUGGGACUUGAGAAAUCUUUAAUAGCUUCAAUGCGUU
This 501-nucleotide long non-coding RNA is filed under the name Medicago truncatula (barrel medic). RNAcentral's name for it is "long non-coding RNA (MTRU_LNC004679)". The record is from RNAcentral. Lineage: Eukaryota; Viridiplantae; Streptophyta; Magnoliopsida; Fabales; Fabaceae.